RNAcentral lists this long non-coding RNA (1338 nucleotides) under Phasianus colchicus (ring-necked pheasant). RNAcentral's name for it is "lncRNA (ENSPCLG00000015114.1)". Lineage: Eukaryota; Metazoa; Chordata; Aves; Galliformes; Phasianidae. The record is from RNAcentral.
AUGGGAUCUCUAUGGGGUCCCUAUGGAGUCUGUAUGGGAUCUCUAUGGGGUCCUUAUGGGGUCUUUAUGGGGUCUCUGUGGGGUGUCUAUGGGUCUCUAUGGGGUCUGAAUGGGAUCUCUAUGGGGUCCCUAUGGGGUCUGUAUGGGAUCCCUAUGGGGUCUCAGUGGGGUCUCUGUGGGGUGCCUAUGGGUCUCUAUGGGGUCUGUAUGGGAUCUGUAUGGGGUCUCUACGGGGUCUGUAUGGGAUCCCUAUGGGGUCUCAAUGGGGUCUCAGUGGGGUCUCUGUGGGGUCUCUAUGGGGUCUCAAUGGGUCUCUAUGGGGUCUGUAUGGGAUCUCUAUGGAUCUUAUGGGGUCCCUAUGGGGUCCCUACGGGGUCUCUAUGGGAUCUUUAUGGGGUCCCUAUGGGGUUCCUACGGGGUCUCUAUGGGCUCUCUAUGGGAUCUCUAUGGGGUCUUUAUAGGGUCUGUAUGGGGUCCCUCUGGGAUCUCUAUGGGAUUGCUCUGGGAUCCCUAUGGGGUCCCUAUGGGGUCCGUAUGGGGUCGUUAUGGGGUCCGUACGCUGCCCCACGUUCCCCUCUCAUUGUGCCCCAUAGGCAGGCCCGCCCCCCGGUGCCGUUCCGCGAGUCCUACCUGUGGGUCUCUGUUGUCCCUAUGGGGUCCCUAUGGGGUCUCUGUGGGGUGUCUAUGGCUCUCUAUGGGGUCCUUAUGGGGUCCCAAUGGGGUCUCUAUGGGGUCUCAGUGGGGUCUCAAUGGGGUCUCUGUGGGGUGUCUAUGGCUCUCUAUGGGGUCCUUAUGGGGUCCCAAUGGGGUCUCUAUGGGGUCUCAGUGGGAUCUCUAUGGGGUCUCUAUGGGGUCUGUAUGGGAUUUCUAUGGGGUCUCAAUGGGGUCUCUGUGGGGUGUCUAUGGGUCUCUAUGGGGUCUCAGUGGGAUCUCUAUGGUGUCUCUAUGGGGUCCGUAUGGGGUCCCUAUGGGGUCCCUAUGGGAUCUCUAUGGUGUCCCUAUGGGGUCCCUAUGGGAUCUCUAUGGUGUCUCUAUGGGGUCCCUAUGGGGUCUGUAUGGGGUCCCUAUGGGGUCUGUAUGGGGUCCCUAUGGGGUCUGUAUGGGAUCUCUAUGGGGUCUCUAUGGGGUCUGUAUGGGGUCUGUAUUGGGUCUCUAUGGAAUGUCUAUGGGGUCCCUAUGGGGUCCCUACGGGCUCUCUAUGGGGUCCGUAUGGGGUCGUUAUGGGGUCGUUAUGGGGUCCGUACGCCGCCCCACGUUCCCCUCUCAUUGUGCCCCAUAGGCAGGCCCGCCCCCCGGUGCCGUUCCGCGAGUCCUACCUGUCCCCCCUGCAAUCCGUGA